UAGAUAGGUGAGAGCAAACACACAGGGAAAACACAAUACUGUGUUGCCAUUUACCAACGUUGAAAGUGGUAGUAUUGUGUUUUCCCUGUGUGUUUGCUCUCACCUAUCUA
Molecule: non-coding RNA, 110 nt
Organism: Pelobates cultripes (western spadefoot toad)
Lineage: Eukaryota; Metazoa; Chordata; Amphibia; Anura; Pelobatidae
Source: the annotation of a GenBank genome assembly